This 65-nucleotide transfer RNA is filed under the name Dipodomys ordii (Ord's kangaroo rat). It matches the Rfam family "tRNA". Rfam says of the family: Transfer RNA (tRNA) molecules are approximately 80 nucleotides in length. Their secondary structure includes four short double-helical elements and three loops (D, anti-codon, and T loops). Lineage: Eukaryota; Metazoa; Chordata; Mammalia; Rodentia; Heteromyidae. The record is from Rfam by way of RNAcentral.
GGUGGCUCAGUGGUAGAGUGCUUGCCUUGCAUGCAUGAGACCCUGGGUUCAAUUCCCCAGCACCU